Molecule: long non-coding RNA, 19050 nt
Organism: Dermochelys coriacea (leatherback sea turtle)
Lineage: Eukaryota; Metazoa; Chordata; Testudines; Dermochelyidae
Exons: 10
Source: RefSeq, a predicted model, not a curated record
GGAAUCCUCUUCACUUUCUCCCCUCCUGCCCCCAUCUUCGUUGCAUUGCACAAAAAUUCAACAACCACUAAAAUGUUUAUGCGCAUCUGUUUCUAGAAGGGAGCAGGGGAAAAGCAGUUCUCAGUCUUCUUCCUUAUUUCGCUGAGGCCUUUGUUUUCUUAGAAAUAUAAACCUCUGAUGCAUGUUACUAUGUAGCAAUGACUAAUUUUUGUCUUUUUCUAUUGAUUUCAGCUGCAGAUCCCUUUUUGCUGUGCAAGCGUGCGAGCGCGGGUGUGUACGGUCAUAUAAAUGUAGCGUGUUUACAGAGAAAUACUAGUAUGUAUCUAUUGUACACAUAUAUAAAUACCUGUUUUCUGUUUUUAUGGAUAUAUACUGUACAUGGCGUAUAUACUUGAGCAAUAUAGGUUAAUAUAUACUGUGUGAAUGUGUGUAUAUUCUAGAUACACACUUAGCAUGUGUAUAUGUAGUAAGUACUGUAUACACACACACAUUCACCAUAUAUUUUUAAUUCAAGUAUAUAGGCAAUCUGAAUAUUUAGAUAUGCUGUCUGGAUUUCUCAAACAUUUUUAAAAAAGGAGAAGCAGCUAAUGAAGCAGCGGCUUAUUUCACUUGUUGCCAGUGAAAUGUCCAGAGCAAAGUAUCUGCAGGCUGAUCUUGGUUUUGUCAGUUACAGAAACACUCCUUUCCUUUUUAGUUUGCUGCCUUGGAUAGAAAGCGGUCUAAAAAAGAUUGUGUGGUUUGUUUGUUUUAAUUGCUGCAUUGAAUUGCUUUAACGAGUAAAUAGUGAAAGUUGUGUUUCAAAGUGCCUGUUCAAACCCCAAAAUCCACUUGGCAUAGAAUAGACAUCCACCCAAUUGUGUGAACAAGUGCAGAACUGGGAUCUUGAUUUUAUUUUAUCUUUUGGAGUUCAUAAGCAAUUUUUGUUUAAAGCAACCGAGCAGCUUUCUAACUUCAGCCUGUAGGAGGAGCACAGUCUGGAAAUCUGUGAAUGAAAACUUGUGAAAACCUGCUGCCUUUUGAGCCUGUGUUGACUAAAAAGUCUGCUAGUUCAGUGUGAAAUUCUCACAGCUUUCUCUGUGCAAGUGCACGUGUUUCUUUGUUGGUGCUUGGGAUUUUCUAACUGGAUUUUAUCAUGAAGGGUUUUAGCUUUUUAGAAAUAGGCAAUUUUGGGGAGAUCUGGCUGCUGAUGAUUUAAUGGCAAAAAAACAAGCUGCUGCUAAAGCAGGUGUUGCUAUCUAUUAGAACCUUAGUAUUUAUUGCUCUGAUUGGCGGUUUAAAUCAAUGCAUAAUUUUAUAACAGGUUGAAGUGAGGGGAGGGUUUUUUAAAAAUAAGAAUGAAAAAUCUUGAUGUGGUAUUUGAAAGUUUGUUGUUCUUGCAUCUUAUAAUCAGAAUCUCCUGACUCCCUGGAGUGGUGUUUGUAAGAACCCAGAUGGGAAAGGUACUUUACCAAAAACAUCAACUAGUUUUGUUUUCUUGCUUCUGUAAGCAGAUCCUGUCUAACCCACUUUAAGCUACCAACUUUUGUCUUCCCCAUAAGUGCAUAAUUGGACAUCCUUUUAGAGGUUUGGAUGUCUUUUUGAAUCCCUUAAGAAACAGAUUUGGUUUUUGAAUAUUUCAAGAUUGUUAUGGGAUUAUCUCCUCUUUUCCUUCCUGUGGAGAGGUUUAGUUCAAGUCUCCUAUUUUGUAUGGGACUUUGAGGUUGUGGAAUCUGUGGUAGGUCUUGUUAGAAUUAGGAUCAUCUUAAUGGAAAUGUGGUUUCAAGAGAGUGAUCCACAGGCAGCUAUUUCCAAUGUUGUUUUUUUUUUAAUUAUUUUUUAGUUUCCCUCCCAGUUUAGUCUGACUAUUCCCAGGGGCAGCCAGAGAAUGUUGUUGAACAGAAAUGAAUUGAGCCUUCUCUGUAACAAAAAACAUGCUGAUGUCAGACCCUAGGAAGGGGAUGCAAGUGAAGUCUAGCAGUAAUUUACUCUCCCGUACAAAACACACCGGGCUCUUCGAGGCACAUUAUAGAAGAGAAGUGUUACUGGAAGUGAGGAUCCCUGGAGCCAGUGAAACCAUCCUGGAGUAAUUGAUCAGGUUCAGUUUAUCUGGAAUCUUAGGUUUUCUUUUCUUGGCCUUUCGAGGAACAUAAGGGUGUCAAGUACAGCAGCCGAAGCACACUGUCUCUGCAGCAUUCUUUUGCUAGAUAGUAACUUGGAGAGUAACCACGAACCUGGGCUUUCCCUCUGAAGACACGUUAGAAGGGAGGGGAAGGAGGGCAGAGAACAUGCAGCAUAGUAAAAAAGCUCAAUUUGGAGAAGACAAUAAAUCUGUCCUAUACGUUCAAAUGCUUUUGACUCCUAUAGUCUAAUAUUUUGUGAGAUGACUGCCCAGGUAUUCCCACGCUCACAAAGUCUCUCAAGUGGGCCUCUCCCAUUGGUCACUUGGGGUCAGAUUUUGAUACUGUAAGACGGUCACAUUACCUUUACUCCACAAUUCAUAUUAAUCAGGGUUGAUUUGAUUUAAAUCAAAUUGAUUUAAAUCACUAGUCAGGAAGACUCGAUUUAAUCAUGGUUUUCUACAUAAAAGUGCAUUCUUAUUGGUUGUUAUAACCUUAAUACAUAUUCUCCACAACUCAGAGAUAGAUGUAGUUUUCAUUUUUUUUUAGAAGGUACAUGCUAUACAUUUUUAAACAGUGAUUUAUUUUGAAAACUUUUCAGAUUAGUUUUACAACUAUAUCAGAAAACAAAUGAUUGUUUGGUUAUUUCAUUUACCAAAAGUAGUUGAAGCAGAUAUUUAUGAAGUCAUUGGGAGGUGAACUAUCUCAAAUUCAACAGGUUAAUCAUUAAUAUUUGGAGGAUUUUCUUGCCAUGCUGUAUUAGGAGGAGAACAUCACCAGACAGACAUUUAAAUUGUUUUAUUUAACUAAAACAACAACGUUAAGUAUUCUGAAUUUUUUUCUUCAACAGCAAACACAUAUUUUAACAAAACAAGCAUAUAUCCCUUGCUUCUCACAUUUAUCUCCAGACUACUUCUCCUUGUCCAGAUCUAUGCCGUCCCCAACAAGCUUCUAUUCAUUGAACUUUUUGAAACUUUGCGCCUUUAGAGAGAGGUAAGGGAUUGACUCUAUGUACACAAAUUUGCAGAGGGACAAUAGAGUUGAGGUCUGUUAUUUUUCACCUCUAUAUAUUAUUUAUUUAUUUUAAAACAUUUUUGCUGUUAACAAGCAUGUUACCUUUGGAGACACAAAUCCACAGUUUGAGAAAUGAAAAACUAAGCAUCUCUGAUGGUAUCCUCUAAACUGAGCACUGAGUCUUAUUGGGUAGAUAGAAAGAUUAAUCUAAAUAAUCUAUACAGAAGCCCCUGGAACCCAAUAAGAUUGGAUCCCUAAUCCGUGAACUAUUGGAACUCAUUUACAGAACUUUUCUUAAACAUUACAUGAAUAUAUAGUCUCAUAUUAUAAAAUUAGAAUUUAUAAUCCCUAUUCCAUGAUGAGAUAUCUUUGAGCUAUAAUGUAUCUUAAUUAAAACUAUCUUUAGAUAGGCUUUUUCCUCAAAAAGCAUUUUACCAAAAAAAUCCGAUUUAAAUUUAAAAAAAUCAGUUUUUUUAAAUCAUUGAUUUUUAUCCACCCUAGUAUUGAGUCAUCCCAUUGAAGCCAAGGAAACUGUUUGUGGAGUAAAGCCCUAAUCAGCGUGAGUUAUCAGCAUCUUGCCCUGAAAAAUGUACCAUUUUUGUCGUCUUAAAUCUUUCAUAAUACAAGGACAUUUUUUGCUCCUACAGAUGUAGUUGACCUUGAGGAGCCAGAUCUUCAGCUGAUGUUAGUUGAUAGAGCAUCAUUGACUUCAGUGUAGACAUGGCAACUGACGCCAGCUUGAGGGCCUGACCUGGGAUCUUCCUAGUCCUUUUGGAAUCCUCACAUCAGUGGCAGUAGUUUCACAUGCAGGUCCUGGCCCCACACUCACCCCAGGAUAAAUCAGAAGUGAAUGCAGCUGCAUAUAUAAACCCAUUGUGGGUGAGAUCAGAAGUGGGCCCUUCACUCAAUAACCAGAACGAAAGCAUGUAUUGGAUGGUUUUAGGUCAGGCAGUGUGUGCGGGGGAAACCCCUGUGGGUGAUAAAUGGUGUCAAGGUUUUGUUUCUGACUGCAAGGCAGGUGACGGAUCUGGGCAUCAGGGUUUUGCUUCUGUCUGUGCAGGGCAGGUGAGGGCUCCUGGCAUCAGGAUGUGAGGCAUUAUUGAGGAGCAAACAUGGAAGAUUGGUCCCUGUUGCAAGUGAGGGUGUCUCAGAGUUUGCAACAAGGAAAGGUGAGGUGAGAUGCAAAACCGAACGACGCAAAAUAAAUAAUUUUGUUUUUAUUAAUCUUGCAAAAAGAACAAAUACGUCUUUGGUUUAGUCACGAAUCGAAGCUGAAUUGCAUUCUUUUUUAAGACAACUUUUUUUUCCCCAGCCCAGUGGAGACCUCAGUCAGAAUCAAGUUGUUUUGUCUCAAAGAGCCGGCCUUGAGGAGAGAGAGUAUUAGCCCACCCAUAAGUGGAAAUAUUCAGUAAAUCUUUCUAAUGUUGCAACCUCUUUCCCAGGAAAAGCCUAGAGCAUCUCUGCGGUAAGAUCUGGGUCACAAACUCCGGUGCCUGCACAGAGCUUAUUGGAGUAUCAGGGCCUUAGUUAAUAGCGUGACCUCAGUAGUCUUCUGACCAAAGUAGAGUGGGGAGUUGGCACCCUAGUUUAGGUUAUGGGACUUGAGGGGGAGGAGAGAGAGCUCCCCCAGAUUGAUUUGUUUUUUAUCUGGUUUCCCCCACUCUUUCUCAUGUGGGGUAUUUUUUUGCGGGACAACCCCAUCCCUCCUGCCUAUGCAUUGUAUCUUCCUGAAAAGCAGAACCUUAAAAACAGAGUGAAGAAAGCAGAGAUAUGGCAAGUAACAUCUCAUGCCCUGUAGGCCAUGGUUUCAAGAGCUCCUCAUUCAACAGCUUAGCAAUGUUACCGGGAUGAUGGAAAAUAUAUGUGGCGGGGGGGGGGGUGUUGCCCUGCUAGCCACUGGAGUGAUUGUGGGGGAGAUAAUAGACCAGCCAAGUCUGAACUUCAGCAGCUGGCUCACAAGCAAAAAUGUCGCCUAGAAGAAUUCAUUAAAGGACAUUUUCUGGUGGAGCUUAUUUUUUUAUUCUUAACAACAGUAAGCAGCUUAAGGCAUCUCACUUAGCUGUUAUUAGUGCAGUCUAUAAACUUGGAAUGGAUUAAACUUUUAUUACCUGCCAGAUAGUAAAAUCCAGUACUACUUUGGCCAAAUACAAUUGUGUGUGUGUGUAAUAGAUAGUGUGUAUAUUUGCAUGCAUAUGUACUGGCUGAGAUUUAUAAAGCUACCUAAGAAAUAUGGAUGCCCACUUCCCAUCUAUGCAUGCAUAUAUGCCUCUAUAAUGUGUCCAUUGUACAGACAUAUCUAUGUGCGUGAAUUAAUCGAAAUCGAGCAUACAGAUCCCUUCGACAGCUUUGCACUUCUCAGCCAGUAAGUAAAUGCUACAUGCACGUGCAUAUGUGCAGUAGAUUCUUUCCAUUAUUCAGUCCCAUAUUUCUGUAGGCCAAUGCUAAACUAAGAAUCUAAUGUUUUUAAAUGAUCUCUGCUUUACUCUUUCCCAUCCACCUUCCCCCCCUUACCCCCAGCCCCAUCUAAUUGUCUUAGCUUAAACCAAUAAACGUGUGUGCAGUAUGUAUGUUAAUAGCCUUAUGUCAGCCCCACUAGACUAUAUGCCAAUAGAACUGACCAUUUCCCUGUAUCCAGAAAGACGAUGACGGGCUCUGAUCCCAUGCCACUGAAGUCCAUGGGAAUUUUGCCAUUGAGUUGGAUGGCUCCCUAAGUUAGAACUGAGUUGCUGCUUGCCGGUAGUGAAAGAAGAACUGAGCUGAAACCACAGAGUGUGAGCUGACGAGAGGGCUGGGGCCAAAAGGAGGCAGCAGUGGCUUUGCCAGCAAUAGGAGAGAAUUGUACGACAGGAGCCAGAAAACCCUUCGCGAAGGGGGGAGGAAGGGAGCAUCCUUUUGCUCUUCUCUUUGUACAUGAAAAACUAACUCUUUUACUUUAAUAAGCAACAAAACAAAAGCCCAUAGACUCUGCAGAGGGAACAUUGGCCAGGCAUGGCCAUAAAUCUCAUAGCAAACACUCAAGCCAAGAUGCAGUGAAACUGGCUCAUCUCGGCCCCCACCCUCUACUUAGAGAUGCAAUUCACCCCAUGCAGAGGGUCAUCUCAAGGCAACAUAGCACUUCUGAUCCACUGUAAGUGACACCCAGCAAUGGACUGGUCCUAGACAAAGGGACGAAUGUCACCCUCGGUUUGUACUGUGUAAGAGGCUGGUUUUCACGUGGGCUCCGGUGGCCUUAGCAGGUUGGUUUUGUUCUGUCUCUCUGGUUUUGGUCUGAGUUUGUCUUUGGUCCUCUUGAUAUGUUUUUUACCUGACCUGAGCUCUGGGUGUAAAAUCAAGGUAUGGCUGAGUUUUGUACAGCUGCAAGCAGUCUUCCCACUGCUUACAUAGUAAUACCUCAAACUUAACAGUUACUAUAGUAUCUGCUGAAGGAGUUUGAUUGGUGGCAAAUGCUCAGGACCAGGUGCAGAGCCUUGGUUGUGCAUAAGCAUUUCCAGCUAGAACUCACCAUCUUCUUUCACUGGCUACUCAAACCCCCAUCAUAUGCCACUAGGCAAUAUCACAAAAAUGGCUUCAUUCACUUCCAGUUGCUGCAUGUUAUUGAUCAGUGAAAGGCAAUGUUUAUGCAGUAGGGUUUUUUCAGCUUUCCAGUGGGAUAUUGUGGGUUUGGUACCAGCCUUCAUCAAUUACAAAAUAGCUAAAUAAUAAUUAUUACCAGUUAUUUUCUAAUCUGAAAAUGAACUAAUACCAAGCUCUUAGUUCUCUAGCCUUCAAGGGGAAUGCCACUGUGCUAAAAAGAGAAACACCUCCACCAUUUUCCCCAGUCUGAUUUUUACAGAGAUAUAACUGUUCUGAACACCAAUGUUCUUUAAGGCCCCAAUCCAGCAAAGCCUGUGUGCAAGCCUAUUUCCAUGCUUAAAACUAUGCACAUGCUUAAGAGUGGAUGCUGGAUUGCAGGGAAAUAGGGGGGCAUUUGAAUUGAGUGCAUCAUGUGAAUAUGUACCUCCUUUAAAAUGAACCCAGUCUCUAAAUCUCAUACAUGUUCUUUUCACAUGAGCUGAAAGGGUGGCAAGCGAUUUCCCCUCUCUUUGGCCAAUACAAGCUUUUAGGGGCAUUUAACUGCUAGAAAACUCUUAAUUCAGGCACUGGCUUGACAGUGGGCUUGUAGCUUUGUUUCUCGUCUAUGCUUCUCAGCCUGUUACAGCCAUGCCAGUGAUGGAUCAGGCUAGCUGGUGCUUGUAUGGUACAUGUCAGUGACUGAUGGGUCAGGCUAGCUGAAAUUAAUCCCAGCUGUGAACAGUUGUGGGAACUCUAUCUCAGUGGGUCCCUAUGACCUAUAUACAGGGGGGUCAGGAGGGUGCAUGUUUUGGAAGUCAGCCGUCAAAAGGCUGAAGUUGGUGUAAUUAUACCAGGAUGUGGCCUGGUAUCUUCAGUUUUUUGCAUUUCCUGGGAUGCAGCACAGGGGAGCCAAAGAGGGGCAACUUAUGGGGCCCACGCUUCCCAAAAUGCAGGGGUUCUGGUUUUAAUCCCAAAGCAGAAAGCCACUCAGACCAAGUUGGGUCUGAUAGUCUCCAUAGGCUACAGUGACCAUUGAAGAUUAGGGUCAGAUGUCGUCUUCUCCUUUUUAGGCAGAUUAGGCUGAUGCUCUUGGCAAAUUGUCAGUAUAGCCCUUGUGUAGGCAAAGCUGGGGCAUCAGUUAUCUGCUACCUUGGGCUAUACACCCCUGACAAAACAUAGUAUUAAAUGCAAGAUUUGAUGACAGGACAGUUCCCCUUUGCAGUAGCCACAAGAUCCCUCUGUUUAAGAGCUGAUCUCUUUCAACCUGCAAUAUCUAAAACAGUGUUGCCAAGCUCUCCUAAUACUGGGUGGGUUUUGUUCUUAAAGCCCUAGCUGUAUUCAUGUGAAUACAUGAGAAUCUCAGCUUCCAUUUUUUUUAAAAAUAAGUUUUACCAGACUUGGUUGGGCAGAAAUGCUUGUAAAGGUGACCUGAGUCCCCCCCAAAAAGCUCUGAAACCAGAAGGCAAAGAAAAAGAACCCCAAAUUUAUCAUUUAAAAAAAAUCCUGAUUUUUUUAAGUCCACACUCAUGAUUUUUGAAUGUGUUAGGUUGGCAAUAUUUCUAAAACAAAAAUCCUUAUGUAAAAAGCUGGCCCCCCCAGUAUACAUCUGGAAAAGCAGAGAGCUUUACCCUUCAGUAAGACUUAGGAUGUGUGUUAGAAGAGAGAGAUCCUUAAACAUAACACAUCAUCUGGAGCACACACAGGUGUGUCAGAGCUGUUCUAGACAGUUACUUGGUUAACCUGCCGCACUAUGCAUAGAUCUUCUAUUUAGCUAGUCUUGUCUUGAAGAAAUAAUUGAAUUUUGAAUGUCUCCUUUCUGCCAGCUGUUCUCCAUGUUUUCCUUUUGUGUUUUUGUGCAUGUGUGGUGCCGUUUCACAUAGGCUUAGGUGAAAUCCAGUCAGUCAGUAUUCAGGAACAUCUCAUUGACAGAUGUUUUUGCUUAUAGGUUAAGUUUACAAAAAAAAGACAGUUCUGCAAUAGAAACUUCCAGUUUUUCCUUUGUAUGUUGGGAAUGGGUAAUGUCUGCUUUGAGGUGAAGGCCUAGGCUUUACUUCUGUUGUGCAUUUCAUUACAAAAAAUAAUUUCCCCUCCCUCAAUAUCAUCAUCACCACCACCGCAUCCCUCCACGGUUGCUCAUUCUCAAAUCGGCAGGUUUUGGUGACUAAAUAAUGUUCUGUCUGAGCAGUACAGGGCUGACCAUUAUAACUCCAAGGGCCCAAUUCUCAUUUACACCAAAGUCACUUUAUGCCAUUCUGGCAAUGUCAAGGGAAAUUCAAAUGGGUGCAGACUACAUUCAUGCCCACUUUAAAGCCUCUUAGCCCUGCCAGAGCAAUGAAAAAAGGGGCCUUUCAUAUAUCAAUGAAAAUGAGACCCCCAAGGCUCUUUGCUACUCCCAUCUUCCUCUGGGUUUUUAUUUGCUCUGACUUUGCAAACAUAUACUGUAGUGUAGGGGACAGGAGAAUACAUUUAUUGGUUUUGAGGUGGAGGUUGUUUUUUAAAACUUCUCUGGGGGGGAUAAGAAUGUCCAUUUUCCCAUUGUUUUUGAUGGCCUCUUCAAGUGCAAUUCUGAAAAUAUUUCCCAAUGCAAAGGCAAUCCUCGGUUGUCAGCAGAUUUCCUAUAGGUGUGGGAAAACCCGCUGCUAAUAAUUAUAACAACAUAGGUCUUAAUCCUGCAAUUGAUGGUAAGUGACUGCUGCUAUCAGUUACCGGAUCUGUGGCCUUAAGCUGCAGUUCAAGAGCAGAAUUCUGACCGCCCCACUUCACUCUUGAAGUCAGUAGCAAAAUUCCCACUGACUUCAGUGGGACCAGGACCCAGCCCUCUGUCCCAUUGACUGUCUCUCUUCAUUCAUAACCCCCUGUGCUUUACCUGUAGUAACUGAUAUUCACUGCGGUCAUUAGAGGUGCUGAUGAAGGACUGCGGACUUGUUUGAUCACAUGCCAGAUACUGUGCUGGCCUUAGAUUCAGAAUCUGGGAAGGGGUAGUCCUAGAGGCUGAUAGUUUGUUGGUUCUGGCUCUAAUUCUGCAGUUUUUCCUGCCAGUGCAAACUCCUUUCUGUGUUAUUUUUUAGGAGGUCAACCAAAACAAGGCCCUCAGACCCACAAUGCCGGUGUCAGACUGAAAUGACAGUGUUCUCAUUGAGUGAAUGGGCCAUGCCUUUUCAGUGUUCUCUAACACUACCCUUGGAGGUCAUGUAUUUAAUGCACCAGCUCUCAGUGCUGGAUGCUGUAAACCCUUACUUGCAUGAGUAGUUAACCUCGAUGGCUCCAGUAGGAAUAUGGAGGGCCAGUCCCGAGCUCCUUGGUGGGCCUAGGCCUGAUAGAUGGAAUUUUGAACUGGGGGCCCCCCGAAAUCCUGUUUCUAAGUCUAAUCCUGUUUCAAAGAAACCUGAGAGCGGGGCUUUGUGGAGUGGGCUGUUUGUCGGAUUUUCCCAACAUCAGUGUUACUUUGCUUCAAACAGCUCGACCCUAGACUGCACCUUGAGAACUUUCAUUUGGAUGGGCUAUUUUAAUGGAAUGACCAUGCCAAUUCUUAGCUGAGUAUUUUGGGACAGACUCUGGUGUAGAACUAGAGAGAACCUCCUUGCAGUCAGACCCCCUUGUAAACUCUGUUGCACUUAGCAGAGUUACUCCAGAUUUACCCUAAUGUAACUCGCAUCAGAAUCUGGUCCUUUCUCUAGGGCACUUUGCUGUUAAUGGCCAUUUUAUUACUGUUUUGACUUGCUUGAACAGGGCAUUGAUUACUCUUUUUCUUGAAUUAAAAAUCCAAUCCUGGUCCAAAUUACUGGUAAGCAGACUGAAGCAGAACAUAGUUAGGAGGCUGUUGUGUGGCUCAGGUUUUCUGGCAAAUAACCAGAUCAGAGAAAUUCUCAUUCCUAAGCCUUGCCAACCUAUGGCCGGUCACUCUUCCCAUCUUGUGUUUCAUUCAGCCCAGUUGGAAAAUUGGGAUAAACACCACUGAAAUCUCCAGAGACUCCUUGAACACAAUGCAUUUUAGCUGAACUUUCCUGUGUAACUUAAUCACCAGUAUGAUAUGUUCAAGCUCUAAAUGGCAUCUGAAUUUUUGGCAAACGCUUCUGGUGCUGAAAGCAAAAUUGUUGCUGUUAUCGUACAGUACGGUGUGGGGGACUGGGGGUGUGAAAAGAAACAUUUGGUAACACGGCCUUGUUUAUUUCCAUUGUGUUCUGUCUUUGCUAGUGUCUUGCAGAAACGGGAAUUUACAAAGCCGUUCCUUAUUUGGAACCAUCUUUUUUUUUUUUUUUAAUUGGGAUAAUGAUGUGAUGAGACUUUUCUUUAAAAAAAAGUGCUACAGAAAGCAGCUAACUGAAGGGGCAGUUCACCCCUAUGCAAAGGACUGGUGCAACACUUGUGUUCCCUGAGACUUUAAUCAUGCACAGACUGACGCACGUAUGCAUGUUGAGUGGCUCAGCUGAAGCCAGUGGGGCGGUUUGCAGCAUGCAGAAUUAUGCCCAUGUAUCAGUCUUUGCUAGGUUGAGGUGGAAAGGCUUCAGUGAGAUUUAAAUGGUUGAUAGCCCUUAUGCCAGCCCUCUGCACAGAGGUGAAUUUCACCUGGUCGCGUUGCAACAGCAGCGAAGGGUCUCAUUCUUGUAUGAAGCGUGGGGCUGGAAGAUGGAUGGUUUUGCUUUACACAGAGAGUGCACAUGCUUAUUUUACUUGCUGGUCUUUUGCUGAAACUCGAGAUUUAUUGUACUGUAUGGAAAAGAAAAAAAACCCUAAUGUUCCAAAACAAAUGACAGUAUAUUUUGUACUUUGUAAAGUGUUAAUUAAAAUGGAAAAAAAAAAAAAAAGCGAAACAUACACUGUCUGCUUUUGUACUGAUCAAACUGAUUAAAAUAAAGCAGAGCUUGGCAUUGUCUUUAUAAGAUGUAACUCUCUUUUGUUAAGCCUUUUCUAAAAGGCAACGAAUGCCAGGGAAAGAAAAGUCUAUCCUAGGUUUUAUCCCAGUACUCAGCUGCUUGCAUCAAAUGGUGACACGGCAGCUAAGAUCCUGAACAUCCUGUUGACCCUUGUACUCACACCAAGCUCCAAUGAAUUAUAUGGGCCUCUCAAGAGUUGCGAGGGCCUGUUCUUGUAGAUCCAAUUGUAGGGUCAGGGUUUAGGUGGUAGCAGGCACCAGAAGGUCCCUGGCCAAAUCCAGCCCUAAUGGGUAUCGAUAUGACUCUGCUGAACGCCUGGAGGGCAGUUCCAACUCUGAAAUCAAGCCCUCCGUCAGGACGCCAUGUGUGCAGGGAGGGAUGCCGGCGUUCUUGGUGGUACCAUCCUCCAGGUGCACUGGUGACACAGAGCUCACUCAGCUGGAAGGUAAGCGAUCCAUCCCAUUGCACUCUUUGAAAGCAGGAGCCAGUAAGCCUAGUGCCGUCCCUUAUCGGGGGUGGGAGGUGAAGAGGGGGACUGCAGAACUGUCUCCAACUAUUGCAUUGUACAAGUGUCACUAGCACCUUUUGGACCAUUGUUGUUAAUUAUUAUUAUUAUUAUUUAUUAUUAAGUGCUGGCAAACGUUCCCUUGUUCUGACAGGUAUCUCCCAGGCUGUGGGAGCUAUGGGUGUGUGUUUGCCUACACAGUCACUCCCUCUCUGCACUGAAGUCUGUGCUUUGGGAAGAAGGGUGCCGCACAAACCCGAAUCUGAGCUAAACUUGCCACUCUGGCUCCGUGGAGGGUCUCCAUCCAACUGGACCCAGGCCCAUGUAGAUAGGCUUUUGUGGAGGUCUGGGUAAGGGGAGUUGAGGCCAGUGCUUUACCAUCCAAAGAUCCAAAUGACCCUGAUCUUCUGCCUCAUUCCCUUGACUUAGGACCCCUGCUCGAUGUGCUGCAGACUCCCUUAGGCUAGCUGUCCUCACAGCAGUGCGCAGGCCAGUACUCCACGCAAUUUUGAAGUUCACAGCUGGAGUCUCUGCCAAGGGAUGAAAUCCAGUAUGGACACAUCACCGCGUCAUGGUGGACACAUCAACCCUAUGCCACGGCUGGCUGCAUUUGCUGUGGUCGUUGGCAGGCUGUGCAUUGCCCUGGUCCCGUCCUGGCCUGUGUUAUCCCUUCAGAGAUUUGAAGACUGGAAGACGAAGUUGAGUACUGUUCCCAGAUCGUCUACACUGGAGUGGAAUGCCAGGAUCCCAGCAUUGUCUUCUCCUGAAGAGCAUCACUCAGUGGAGGGGAACAUCGAAAACAUAAGAAGUGUGGGAAACAGGCAUCUCCCCUGGAAAACUUGUCCCUCCAUUCAAGUGAGAUUUUAAGGCAGACCAUAAAAUAUUUUGCACCAAAUUCAGAUAUGCCUAAGGACCUUGCAGCGAUCACACUAUGUUGUACAGGAUAGACACACAGGAAUUUCACUCAGAUCUUCAUGGUCCUAAAAGCACAGGUCAUCACUACGUGAGCUAAUGGAGAAUCUUCAUUAACUGUUAGCAGUAUAGAGCCUAUGAAACAUGCUUGAGUAGUUCUGAGUCCCUUUAAUAGAAGACAGCGAUGCAGUCUCAUGACUGGUUAUAUUUAAAUAAGCACAGAUGGUAGGAUUUGGUCUGAAAUGUAUCCACUUGAACAAAAAUUACAGAUCCCUCAAUAAAAUAAGAAUUGAUUUGUUUGUCAGGUCUAAAGCUCUUCCGGUCAGGGACCAUAGCGUCUCCUGUGUUUGCAGAGUGCCUAACAGAAUGAGGCUCUGGGUGCUACCUCAAUACAAAUAAUAAGAAAUGUAUUUGAUAAGAAGGGGCUUGGGGAAAAAGUCCAAACUAACAGAUCAGGCCUGAUCUACUGUAUUUUAGGACUUCAAUGACUGAUAGAAACUCCCAGUUUUGUUGCAGCUUAGUUUGAGCACUCUGUAGUAUGCUUAUAAAAAUAAGAGGAUGGGAAGUCAAACCAAAGCAGGUCUAUUUUUGAGGUCUUCAAGUUCUAGUUCUCAGAAUCAUUUGUAUUAAAGGAUCCUUGAGGGGCAAGAUAUAGUUGGUCUGAGUAUUGACCGUGCCUAAAAUAAUCCUGGCUUUACAGGAUGUAAUAUAUUUAAUUUACAGUGACAUGGUUUAUUAAUGCACUCAGGACCAUAUUUUUCCCUCCGACAGCCCCAGCCCCAUGAGGUCAGCGAUAUUGCCUGAAUCUAGCUAAGGGUGGAGCAUGAGCCAUCCCAGUAGGAUUUGCAGGUAUGGAAGUGCAGAAAUGAAUAGCUGGAGCAGAGCACAAAUAAAAUAGUCUUUCCGCCUGGUAGCAGUCAUUUUAAUAAAAAUCCUGCAGCUGACAUUACUAGGUUCCCAUGUCCCAGCUGAUUCGCCACGGGCUGCGUGAGUCAAGGAGACUAAAUUCCCCUCACCCUCAGAGAUCGGCCAUGUGCUGUACAGUAUCUGUUGUAGGAAUAGCUGAAGGACUUGACCUUAUAGGGCUAUCAGCCCAUUGUCUUACUCAAGUAUUAAAUUCAGCGGUGCAGACCCUGGGGUAGCACAAGCCAGGAUUUGGAUUUUCAAAACCAACUGAUGUCUUUGGGCUCUCCAAGUUGUUGGUACAGUGUAGUAUUAACGGUUAAUAACUGUAUCACUGGACAAUCCAGAUUGGGGCCCUGUUAUGCUCGGAGCUGUACACGCACGGGGGAACUGUGUUUCCUGCCCUGAAGAGUUUUCACUCUAUUUUCAGCCAAAGCUGAUAGCACAGUGGUAUUUGUAAAGCAAAUGACUCGUGCUAAUCAAUGCAAAUCAAGUAGGUUAUUUUUGUUCUAAUCUAAGAUGCUCCCUAUGUGUCUUCCCUGUUCUCCCUCCUCCACACCCUCCCCUUUACUGGUAUAUUUAUGGCUGUCUAAUUUGCUACUUUGAAGGACAAAGUGGUGCAGAGAUUCCUUCCAUUGUACUAGUUCUCAGCUCCCUACCCUGGGACUAGAUUGUUAAUUAUACUGACAGCUGUGUUCCUAAACAGAUGUAAUCCGUCAUGGGGGCGGGGGGGGGGGGGGGGAGAAAUGUAAACUUUGCAACCCCUGGGUGCCUCCAACAGGUAAAAUCUUUCCUAUUUUCCUCGUAUCCAACAUUUUUAAAAGGUUGAUCCUCCGUGGGACAGUAGAGGACAGAAGAAUAUUGAAAAUCGGGCAUUUUAGUUACCGAGUGGGUGGACGACUGAAGGAAAGAAAAGGACUCCUCUCUAGACAUGUUUAUAACACGUACCUGCUACAGGAUGUGGGAUUUACAGGAGGAUAUAAAGCCUGAUAUAUAAUCAUGGCCUGGAGCUUGUGCUCUGGCGGAAAGUGCUACAUCUGCAGGGAGAUGCAAUCUGAACAGCGUGCCCUGUGAUGUGGGAAGGGGAUUGUGCGUGUGCAAAUCAAGAGUGGCACGUCUCAAUUCAGCAAGAUGCUAGGAAAGGAAUUUGCCUUCUAUCCACAAAACAUCACCUGAGCCAUCAGCUAAUGCCGCCCUAGCCAGAGUGGGCAGAGACGAUGCCAACAGGCCUAAAGGGGAAAGCACCAUUAAAAAGGACCCACCGGUCUGCAGCAAGAAAGGGGAUUUCUCUUUCCAGAGAGUGACACCGCAGCAUGGGGGGAAAACUAGACUCGUCAGCAAGGGACUGGCCGUUCCUUCAAACCCUGGCCAAACACACCAUGCUCACAGAGGACCCAGGCCGAACAGCACCAGAACGGCAUCAUGCCCAGACUCAACUGUGCAGUUCCAUGGAUAUGCAUCUGGAGGCAUAGUACAGACCACUGCUGUGGGGAGACAUUACUGAAUGAUAUAUAGCCAAGUUUCUCUGGGAUGAAAUAUAAUGGCACUUGGAAGGAGACGUUGAGUAACACAGACAAUGGCUGGAAUGAACGAGAAGUGCUGAGGAGAGAGUCCUGAUCCUGAAGUGAUCUUGCAACCAAGUUAGUCGAACAAGAAAAACAGCUUUCCUCUGCAUCCUGGCCUCUUCUGAUGAAACAAGCGCAUGGUCACGUCCCUUUGUGGGGACAAAGGAUUUUUACCCCCCUUGGAGAUGGCAGCAUCUGUUGUUCUUCAUGUUUCCUAACUGUGGCACCUGUGGUUUGAAGGACUAGAACAGGCAUAUAAAUCACAUGGACAAGGGCUCUCACUCUGAUCUGACUGCAGCACUGAAGGAACUGGCUUCUUUAAAAGUAAAGUCCAAUGGGGCAGGAAACAUGGUUGGUGAAGACCGUCACCCCCUCAAAGUGACAGCAGUGGCAUUUAAAGUUCUACUGCCAUCUGUACAAGUCUCAAAGGAGAUGUCAGUGUCAUCAUCGCCAUCUUACAGAUGGGGAAACUGAGGCAUUGACCAGAGUCAUCCAGCUUGUGAGAAGCAGAGUCAGGAACAGAACCCAAGUAUCCCGAGUCCCAGUCCAGUGCUCUCUGCACUAGGGUAUACUGCCUCAGAAGUCACCUGGUAUUUCUGUUUCCUGACUGGAUGCCAAAAAUAUACCCCACACAUGUGACUUUGAGGCUGAGCUUUCUGCAAAAAGCCCAUGUACAUGAGGAGCAACAAUGACAGAAGCAAGUUCAAUUUUAAAAAGCAAUUGCAUGUCUGGCCUUGGUCUGUUUUUUGCAGUCCCUGCUGUAGAUUCAAACCUUAAUAAAAAGAUUAAUUAAAGGAAUGCAUUAUUUGCACAAGUAAUAUUUUUCAAAAGCUACAGAUUAACAGCACGACUGUCCACACUACAGAUUGCCUACCCCACUUAAAAGAGAUUUAUAAAACAUUCACCAUGAGCCUUUAUGGUCCACUGAGUCAUGGUAUAAUGAAAAAUCUUUGUGAGCUUCUGGCACCCUGCAGCGAUUGUUUAUAAUCCAAUAGAGGAGAAUUCCCCACUCUGUGGCAGGCAGUAAGUGCCAAUUCAUCUUCUGUGGGAUUUCAGCAAGCCAGUGUCAAAAUUAAGCUAUGAUGUUAUCAGAUGUGGCUAUUUUAAGAGAUGACUUUGCACUGAAUUAGAAGUUGACUGACACUAUUAUUUCCUGCCUUAAAAUUAAUUGAUGGGACACUGUUGUAUAUAAAAACAUAGCUUAAUUUAUUUUACACUUAAACAUGUUAAAAUAUAGCUGCCAAAACCCAUUAAGUAUUAUUAAUCAGAAGGAGUCUAUGCAUGCUAUAGGUCUAUAGGCUCAUCUAUGAAACCAUCAGCCCUGACAGACUAACUCAAGUAUAAAACAGAAAAAAAAAGUGUAAGUUGAACACUCUGAACUUCUCUAUCUGCAGAUUUCAAAAGUGUUUUACAAAAAUGAUCCCAUUCAGUCACCCCAGUGUACAUCCACGCCCUCAUAUGUCCUUCUAUAGGUAUAACAUGCCUACUAUAAGCAAUGCAGUUACCUGGGCUGUGUCUCUACCCUUUAUGGCUGGGAGUUUCAGAAUUGCCUGAGAGAAAGGUGCCCAACUCCUGCUGAAAUUCCCAACAUACAGCCUUCCAGUUGGAUGCAGUUUUAAAUCAACUCUCCCUCUGGGACAGAGCCACAGCAGGGCUUUGCAGAAAACUCAAGGCCAGUGAGACAUAACUCAUUUGACAGACUUAGGUAUUUAAAAACAGAAUAUUUUAACUACAUUAAAUUGGCUCCUUUGAGUGGGGCCAUCUGCCACUUGUUGUGAGGGGUGUGGCUGGACCAGGAAGCAGCAAUGGUCAGGACAAGUUAAAAAUCAUUUGCUUCAAGCCCAGAGGUCUCACUGCUGUCAUCUUUGGGGACUUACUGCAAGUGGAGCUAUACCUUAAAUCCACUGAGAGAUUGAAGCUGGAGCAGAAUGUGGCCACCUACCUCCUCUGAAAGGGAUCCUGCACUGAGCACAUGAUUCCAGAGUUCUCAUCUUCUGUGGCUGCCUACUAGGUUUUGGAGGGGAGUUCAAUGUGUUGCUCUUUUUCCAUGAAGUCCUAAAUGACAUGUGACCUGCCUACUGGAGGGGCUGAUUACUGCCAGAAGAGGCACUCCAGUGGGACCACCCUUGGUUUGCAAGCUGACAGGGCCUUCUCCAGGACAGGCCCUCAACUUUAGAACAUACUUCCCUUGCUUGGCCUGAAACAGGCCUAAACCAUGGGCUUUCAGGGCAAAACACUAAUACAAGCAAUACGAUUAUUCCCAGACAGUAGGACUUAGUGAUUGUGUUGUCAAAGGCACCUGGAGGAGGGAAUAGGUGCUUAUUUUAUAGCUUCAUGUUCAGAACAGUUACAGUGAAGCAUGUAGACGCUCCAUUAUUUACAUAGUGCCCAAAGGUUAGCAGGUGAGUUGUAGAUAGAAAAUCAUUUUAAAAAAGUCAUUUAAAGUGAACAUUGGAACAUCUGAUCUAACCUAACCUGCGUCGUCUCUGUGAUAGAAGCCAGCUGCAUGUAUUCAGAGUUUCCCCAUCCAAAGAGGUGUCCUUCAUCAGAUACAGCCAGACAGCUGUCCCCAUAGGUGGCAACCUGAACGAUAUUUACUCCAGCAAUAUCUCCGCCCAGUUUGGUGGGCACACUGGUGAUAUUGUAAUGGCCAAGACCUGAUAAGGGGAGAGAGAGAUGUGCUGUAAUGAAAUGCUGUACUUGUUCAUAUUAGAAAUAAGGCAGAUACCAUGAGCCUCAUGGUGCCAGUCAUCCGAAGACUGGAUCUUUUGAACCAACAUCAAAAAGAGAAAAAAAGUGCAACUGCUUCUGGGGAUGUGUUAUCUCAAAGCUAAAGCAAGAUCUGACUGAUACAUCCCUAGCAUGCCCCCUGUGGAGACCGCAGCUCAAAUCCUGUGUUCUAGCAGCUUGGUGACACAACUCAAGAGCCCACCAUGUAUAUUACAAAGAUCAAACUGUUUGGUACCCUGUCUGUCUCUGUAGAGGAGAUAGACAGCAGAGCACUUCAGAGCAGGCUAAUGCUACACUAAAAUGCUUGAUCUAAGAGGAUGGUUAAAUAGGAAUUGACUCAGGGAAGCCCUAGGGUCUGCGUAAUGCAGGAGAUCAAACUUAGAUGAUCACAAUAGUCCCUUCUGGCCUUAACCUAUGGAAGAGUUGCUGAGAACCUGCAUUUUCAGUGGGAGUUGCGGGUGCUCAACAUCUCCCAAGAUUUGGUGCUAACAGGGCUAUUUAAAAAAAGGCUCACCACGCUUUACCCAUGUCAAGUCAACAGGGGUGAGCCCCCCGUGAUAUUUUUUAUUAGACUGGGCGGUUGUGAACCAUUCUUGUACCAGCUCCACACUCUUGUUUCAUUUUGAGCAAACAAGUUGGUUUCUUACCUUGGUACCUAAUGAUCCAAGCCAAGGCCUAUCACCCAAAAACAUGCAUUGGGAACUAAUAGCAGCGGUAGCUAACACAACUAUCUUGAGCAAAUUAUGUUGCAGCAGUUCUUCCUCUAUAUGCUACAAAGCCAACCAAUUCCUACCCUCUGACUGGUGACUAUCAGCUCCGAUGUAACGCAGAGGAAUCUUUCUGCUCACACUUGGAAUUCAGACUGAUGCGUGCCACCCUGUAUUUUGGAGGUGGCUGUU